AAUAGAUGUAUAAAUAUAUAGAAGAAAUUAAAUGAUAAAUCAUUAAAUUUAAAAGAUUUGGCAGUAUUUAAUAUUUAGAGGAACCUGUAUAGUAAUUGAUGAUCCACGAUAAGAUAUACUUAAUUUAAGUUUAUGUAUUGCUGUUUUAAAUAUUUAAUUAAGUUAGAUAAUAAUAUAAUUUAUAAUAUUUUUAAUAAGAUAAAGUAAUUCAAGUCAAAAUAUAGUUUAAUUAAGAUUUAAUAUGGGUUACAAUUAAUUUAAUUAUUGGAUUAAAAAAUUUAAUUUUUUUAUGAAAUUGGAUUUAAAAGUAAAUUUAAUUAAUUAAUUAAAUUGAAUAAUAAAUUAAAUAUGU
RNAcentral lists this ribosomal RNA (352 nucleotides) under Vespa bellicosa. Its description in RNAcentral is "partial small subunit ribosomal RNA". The record is from RNAcentral. Lineage: Eukaryota; Metazoa; Arthropoda; Insecta; Hymenoptera; Vespidae.